UCCUACGGGGCGCAGCAGUGGGGAAUAUUGCACAAUGGGGGAAACCCUGAUGCAGCAACGCCGCGUGAGUGAAGAAGUAUUUCGGUAUGUAAAGCUCUAUCAGCAGGGAAGAAAAUGACGGUACCUGAGUAAGAAGCCCCGGCUAACUACGUGCCAGCAGCCGCGGUAAUACGUAGGGGGCAAGGGUUAUCCGGAAUUAUUGGGUGUAAAGGGUGCGUAGACGGGACAGCAAGUUAGUUGUGAAAGCCCUCGGCUUAACUGAGUAACUGAAACUAAAACUAUUGUUCUUGAGUGCAGGAGAGGAA
Molecule: ribosomal RNA, 305 nt
Filed under: uncultured bacterium
Lineage: Bacteria
Description: bacterial SSU rRNA
Rfam family: Bacterial small subunit ribosomal RNA
Source: RNAcentral